GCAUUUUUUUUAAUUUCAAUUUUAGUCAAUUUGGCCUAAAUUGCCUAAAUUGAAAUGAUUGGAUUAAAAUGCAAAUUUACAAAAUGGUUUGAAUUUUUCUUUUGUAAGUAGGCAUUUACAGUUUGAUGAAGUGUUUCCUUCGUUUUUUUUUUAUUCCUUUUUUUUAAACUCUGACACUAACUAGAAAGAUAUUUGGUCCUUGAAAACAAAAAGAAUCUUGUUUUAUACAUAAUUGGAAAUAAAUCAGAAUGAUAAGCAGUUGUCAUAACAAGUCACAUUGCCGAAUGAUCUAUUGAGCUUAUGGAAUAUCUCCAAUGUCUUAAAAUGUUUCUUCUAUGAUUCUUUUCAUUUUGUUCAUGCAAAAGUAGCUUAUUUCAUUGUUGAUAGGCCUGAUACAUUUUAUAUAACACAUCACCACAUGUCCAAUGGCCAAUUCUCAAAUGGGCCUGAAAGGAAAUGAGGAACUAAGGAAAAAUUCCAAACCUGAUGUCUCAAAAGAGGAACUACCAAAACUCCUUCUGGAGGACUAG
This 530-nucleotide unclassified non-coding RNA is filed under the name Hevea brasiliensis (rubber tree). The record is from RNAcentral. Lineage: Eukaryota; Viridiplantae; Streptophyta; Magnoliopsida; Malpighiales; Euphorbiaceae.